This 829-nucleotide ribosomal RNA is filed under the name Choriorhabditis sp. 3 TWN2068. Its description in RNAcentral is "SSU rRNA". It matches the Rfam family "Eukaryotic small subunit ribosomal RNA", at positions 104 to 969 of the family's 1831-position model. Lineage: Eukaryota; Metazoa; Nematoda; Chromadorea; Rhabditida; Rhabditidae. The record is from RNAcentral.
GAGCUGAUAUACACUAUCGAGGGUCUCUGAGUGGACAACUGUGGUAAUUCUGGAGCUAAUACAUGCAAUAAUGCCCUGCCUCACGGCGGGGUGCACUUAUUAGAACAGACCAAUCCUUCAAAAGAGGACGUUUGUUGACUCUGAAUAUCCUAGUUAAUCGUCGGUUUACCGAUGAUGUCCUCGAUUAGUGUCCGCCCUAUCAACCUGAUGGUAGUUUAUUAGACUACCAAGGUUAUAACGGGUAACGGAGAAUAAGGGUUCGACUCCGGAGAGGGAGCCUUAGAAACGGCUACCACAUCCAAGGAAGGCAGCAGGCGUGAAACUUAUCCACUGCAUAUAGUGAGAUAGUGACUAAACAUAAAAAGACCAUUCUUUUUAGAGUGGUUUUUUCAAUGAAUAGAGUUUAAAACACUCUAUGAGGAUCUAAUGGAGGGCAAGUCUGGUGCCAGCAGCCGCGGUAAUUCCAGCUCCAUUAAUAUAGAUCGUCAUUGCUGCGGUUAAAAAGCUCGUAGUUGGAUCUUAGUUGCGUGUUCUUGUUCCUCGACGAGGUUAACUUGAACUGCGACUAUUUGCUAGUUUUCGGCCUUGACUUCGGUCAUUGUUGUGACUAGCGAGUUACUUUGAAUAAAUCAGAGUGCUCAAAACAGGCGUUCGCCUGAAUACUCCAUCAUAGAAUAAUAGAAGAAGACUUCGGUCUCUUUUAUUGGUUUAACGAUCGAAAUAAUGGUUAAGAGGGACAAUUCGGGGGCAUUCGUAUCCCUGCGCGAGAGGUGAAAUUCGUGGACCGCAGGGGGACGCCCAAAAGCGAAAGCAUUUGCCAAGAAUGUCU